RNAcentral lists this ribosomal RNA (253 nucleotides) under uncultured bacterium. RNAcentral describes it as "partial 16S ribosomal RNA". It matches the Rfam family "Bacterial small subunit ribosomal RNA", at positions 524 to 776 of the family's 1533-position model. The record is from RNAcentral.
UACGGAGGGUGCAAGCGUUAUCCGGAUUCACUGGGUUUAAAGGGUGCGUAGGCGGGCAGGUAAGUCAGUGGUGAAAUCUCCGGGCUUAACCCGGAAACUGCCGUUGAUACUACCUGUCUUGAAUAUCGUGGAGGUAAGCGGAAUAUGUCAUGUAGCAGUGAAAUGCUUAGAUAUGACAUAGAACACCGAUUGCGAAGGCAGCUUACUACACGAUCAUUGACGCUGAGGCACGAAAGCGUGGGGAGCAAACAGG